AGUGGCGAACGGGUGAGUAACGCGUUGGUGACCUGCCCCGAAGAGAGGGAUAACAGUUCGAAAGAACUGCUAAUACCUCAUGUGAUCAUAAGGAUUAGAGGCCUUUUGAUUAAAUGGAUUUAUUCGCUUCGGGAGGGGCCUGCGUCCCAUCAGCUAGUUGGUAGGGUAAUGGCCUACCAAGGCGAUGACGGGUAGGGGACCUGAGAGGGUGACCCCCCACACUGACACUGAAACACGGGUCAGACACCUACGGGUGGCAGCAGUAGGGAAUAUUGGUAAUGGGCGAAAGCCUGAACCAGCAACGCCGCGUGCGCGAUGAAGGCCUUCGGGUUGUAAAGCGCUUUUUGAGGGGAUGAGGAAGGACAGUACCCUCAGAAUAAGCCUCGGCUAACUACGUGCCAGCAGCCGCGGUAAAACGUAGGAGGCAAGCGUUAUUCGGAUUUACUGGGCGUAAAGCGCGUGCAGGCGGCUCGAUAAGUUGGAUGUGAAAGCUCCUGGCUCAACUGGGAGAGGUCGUUCAAUACUGUCGGGCUAGAGGAUGAGAGAGGGAGGUGGAAUUCCAGGUGUAGUGGUGGAAUGCGUAGAUAUCUGGAGGAACACCAGUGGCGAAGGCGGCCUCCUGGCUCAUUUCUGACGCUAAGACGCGAAAGCUAGGGUAGCAAACGGGAUUAGAGACCC
RNAcentral lists this ribosomal RNA (678 nucleotides) under uncultured bacterium. RNAcentral's name for it is "bacterial SSU rRNA". It matches the Rfam family "Bacterial small subunit ribosomal RNA", at positions 94 to 787 of the family's 1533-position model. The record is from RNAcentral.